Molecule: ribosomal RNA, 2690 nt
Filed under: Salmonella enterica subsp. enterica serovar Enteritidis
Lineage: Bacteria; Pseudomonadati; Pseudomonadota; Gammaproteobacteria; Enterobacterales; Enterobacteriaceae
Description: partial 23S ribosomal RNA
Rfam family: Bacterial large subunit ribosomal RNA
Source: RNAcentral
GAUAUGAACCGUUAUAACCGGCGAUACCCGAAUGGGGAAACCCAGUGUGACUCGUCACACUAUCAUUAACUGAAUCCAUAGGUUAAUGAGGCGAACCGGGGGAACUGAAACAUCUAAGUACCCCGAGGAAAAGAAAUCAACCGAGAUUCCCCCAGUAGCGGCGAGCGAACGGGGAGGAGCCCAGAGCCUGAAUCAGCAUGUGUGUUAGUGGAAGCGUCUGGAAAGGCGCGCGAUACAGGGUGACAGCCCCGUACACAAAAGCGCAUGUGCUGUGAGCUCGAUGAGUAGGGCGGGACACGUGGUAUCCUGUCUGAAUAUGGGGGGACCAUCCUCCAAGGCUAAAUACUCCUGACUGACCGAUAGUGAACCAGUACCGUGAGGGAAAGGCGAAAAGAACCCCGGCGAGGGGAGUGAAAAAGAACCUGAAACCGUGUACGUACAAGCAGUGGGAGCACCCUUUGGGUGUGACUGCGUACCUUUUGUAUAAUGGGUCAGCGACUUAUAUUCUGUAGCAAGGUUAACCGAAUAGGGGAGCCGGAGGGAAACCGAGUCUUAAUUGGGCGUUAAGUUGCAGGGUAUAGACCCGAAACCCGGUGAUCUAGCCAUGGGCAGGUUGAAGGGUGGGUAACACUAACUGGAGGACCGAACCGACUAAUGUUGAAAAAUUAGCGGAUGACCUGUGGCUGGGGGUGAAAGGCCAAUCAAACCGGGAGAUAGCUGGUUCUCCCCGAAAGCUAUUUAGGUAGCGCCUCGUGAAUUCAUCUCCGGGGGUAGAGCACUGUUUCGGCUAGGGGGCCAUCCCGGCUUACCAACCCGAUGCAAACUGCGAAUACCGGAGAAUGUUAUCACGGGAGACACACGGCGGGUGCUAACGUCCGUCGUGAAGAGGGAAACAACCCAGACCGCCAGCUAAGGUCCCAAAGUCAUGGUUAAGUGGGAAACGAUGUGGGAAGGCCCAGACAGCCAGGAUGUUGGCUUAGAAGCAGCCAUCAUUUAAAGAAAGCGUAAUAGCUCACUGGUCGAGUCGGCCUGCGCGGAAGAUGUAACGGGGCUAAACCAUGCACCGAAGCUGCGGCAGCGACACUGUGUGUUGUUGGGUAGGGGAGCGUUCUGUAAGCCUGUGAAGGUGUGUCGUGAGGCAUGCUGGAGGUAUCAGAAGUGCGAAUGCUGACAUAAGUAACGAUAAAGCGGGUGAAAAGCCCGCUCGCCGGAAGACCAAGGGUUCCUGUCCAACGUUAAUCGGGGCAGGGUGAGUCGACCCCUAAGGCGAGGCCGAAAGGCGUAGUCGAUGGGAAACGGGUUAAUAUUCCCGUACUUGGUGUUACUGCGAAGGGGGGACGGAGAAGGCUAUGUUGGCCGGGCGACGGUUGUCCCGGUUUAAGCGUGUAGGUGUGUGUUCCAGGUAAAUCCGGUUCACUUUAACACUGAGGCGUGACGACGAGGCACUACGGUGCUGAAGCAACAAAUGCCCUGCUUCCAGGAAAAGCCUCUAAGCAUCAGGUAACAUCAAAUCGUACCCCAAACCGACACAGGUGGUCAGGUAGAGAAUACCAAGGCGCUUGAGAGAACUCGGGUGAAGGAACUAGGCAAAAUGGUGCCGUAACUUCGGGAGAAGGCACGCUGACACGUAGGUGAAGUGAUUUACUCAUGGAGCUGAAGUCAGUCGAAGAUACCAGCUGGCUGCAACUGUUUAUUAAAAACACAGCACUGUGCAAACACGAAAGUGGACGUAUACGGUGUGACGCCUGCCCGGUGCCGGAAGGUUAAUUGAUGGGGUCAGCGCAAGCGAAGCUCCUGAUCGAAGCCCCGGUAAACGGCGGCCGUAACUAUAACGGUCCUAAGGUAGCGAAAUUCCUUGUCGGGUAAGUUCCGACCUGCACGAAUGGCGUAAUGAUGGCCAGGCUGUCUCCACCCGAGACUCAGUGAAAUUGAACUCGCUGUGAAGAUGCAGUGUACCCGCGGCAAGACGGAAAGACCCCGUGAACCUUUACUAUAGCUUGACACUGAACAUUGAGCCUUGAUGUGUAGGAUAGGUGGGAGGCUUUGAAGUGUGGACGCCAGUCUGCAUGGAGCCGACCUUGAAAUACCACCCUUUAAUGUUUGAUGUUCUAACGUGGACCCGUUACCCGGGUUGCGGACAGUGUCUGGUGGGUAGUUUGACUGGGGCGGUCUCCUCCUAAAGAGUAACGGAGGAGCACGAAGGUUGGCUAAUCCUGGUCGGACAUCAGGAGGUUAGUGCAAUGGCAUAAGCCAGCUUGACUGCGAGCGUGACGGCGCGAGCAGGUGCGAAAGCAGGUCAUAGUGAUCCGGUGGUUCUGAAUGGAAGGGCCAUCGCUCAACGGAUAAAAGGUACUCCGGGGAUAACAGGCUGAUACCGCCCAAGAGUUCAUAUCGACGGCGGUGUUUGGCACCUCGAUGUCGGCUCAUCACAUCCUGGGGCUGAAGUAGGUCCCAAGGGUAUGGCUGUUCGCCAUUUAAAGUGGUACGCGAGCUGGGUUUAGAACGUCGUGAGACAGUUCGGUCCCUAUCUGCCGUGGGCGCUGGAGAACUGAGGGGGGCUGCUCCUAGUACGAGAGGACCGGAGUGGACGCAUCACUGGUGUUCGGGUUGUCAUGCCAAUGGCACUGCCCGGUAGCUAAAUGCGGAAGAGAUAAGUGCUGAAAGCAUCUAAGCACGAAACUUGCCCCGAG